CAGGAUAAGAAGUUUCUUAAUUUGAAAAUUAUAAAUAUUAAGAUGGUCAUAAUUCUGUGUUUGUGGCAAAAUAAUCAUUUCCAUGGCAACCAACUGGGAUGUCUCAAGGAGAGGAUUAAGACUUCAGGAAAGGACUAAGCAAGAGGAGCAGAUGAAUAAUGAAAAUAAUCAUGAUCCUUAUUCUCAAUCAGAACAGAAGGAAUAUUAGGAUGAGAAUGUACGCUAUAGGUCUUUCGGAAUUUCUUCAGCCUUCAAAACAACUACUUCAGUUCAGUUUUCUAGGAGACCUCACCUACCCUAAGAUGCAGCUACUCCUAUACUGUAGACGUUGUAUAAACAAAAGGGGCAAGGGGAAGCCUAAUCAAAGCUCCAGAACAUUCCAAUCAGGUACAUGCCAAUUGUACGGAAAUACUCUCCAAUAGCAUCUUGGAAAGAGAUUUAGAGGUGUAUGUGAGUUUUUAUGUGUAGCACACUACAGGGCCAGAGUUAAACUAUUUUAUUGUGUUAAUUUACUUUUUUUGUAGCAAAAGUGGUAUAUAGGGAGUAGCUUAGAAAAGUGUAAGUUGGCAGGGCGCGGUGGCUCACGCCUGUAAUCCCAGCACUUUGGGAGGCCUAGGCGGGCGGAUCACCUGAAGUUGGGAGUUUGAGACCAGCCUGACCAAUAUGGAGAAGCCCCAUCUCUACUAAACAUGCAAAAUUAGCUGGGCAUGGUGGCGCACACCUGUAAUCCCAGCUAUUCGGGAGGCUGAGGCAGGAGAAUCGCUUGAACCCGGGAGGUGGAGGUUGCGGUGAGCCCAGCCACGCCAUUGCACUCCAGCCUGGGCAACAAGAGCAAAACUCUGUCUCAAAAAAAAAAAAGAAAGAAAAAAAGAAAGAAGGAAGGAAGGGGAAAGAGAAAGAAAGGAAGGAAGGAAGGAAGGAAGGAAGGAAGGAACGGAGGGAGGGAGGGAGGGAGGGAGGAAGGGAGGCCGGGCGCAGUGGCUCAAGCCUGUAAUCCCAGCACUUUGGGAGGCUGAGGCGGGCGGAUCACGAGGUCAGGAGAUCCAGACCAUGCUGGCUAACAUGGUGAAACCCCGUCUCUACUAAAAAUACAAAAAAAUUAGCCAGGCAUGGUGGCGGGUGCCUGUAGUCCCAGCGUGAACCCAGGAGGCGGAGCUUGCAGUGAGCUGAGAUCGCGCCACUGCACUCCAGCCUGGGCAACGGAGAGAGACUCCGUCUCAAAAAAAAAAAAAAAAAAAAAGAAAGGAAGGAAAGGAAAGGAAAAGAAAAGAAGGAAAGAAAAGAAAGAAAGAAAGAAAGAAAGAAAGAAAGAAAGAAAGAAAGAAAGAAAGAAAGAAAGAAAGAAAGAAAGAAAAAGGAAAAGAAAAGAAAAGAAAGAGAAAGAGGUAAGCCAUUUGAAGAAUGGAUUUAAAUGAAGCACAGAUUAAAUAUGGACCACACUUUUCCUAUUAAAAAAACACUCUGGGCCAGGCGCGAUGGCUCACGCCUGUAAUCCCAGCACUUUGGGAGGCCGAGGUGGGUGGAUCAAGCGAUCAGGAAGGAGAUCGAGACCAUCCUGGCUAACACGGUGAAACCCCGUCUCUACUGAAAAAAAAAAAAAACUAGCCGGGAGUGGUGGUGGGCGCCUAUAGUCCCAGCUACUCGGGAGGCUCAGGAGAAUGGCGUGAACCCGGGAGGUGAAGCUUGCAGUGAACCGAGAUCACGCCACUGCACUCCAGCCUGGAUGACAGAGUGAGACUCCGUCCAAAAAAAAAAAAAAAAACCACACACACACACACACACACACACACACACUGAAUAAAUAAAAAGUUCAAAAGAAUAUUGAUGGAA
This 1830-nucleotide long non-coding RNA is filed under the name Homo sapiens (human). RNAcentral's name for it is "HSALNT0340008". Lineage: Eukaryota; Metazoa; Chordata; Mammalia; Primates; Hominidae. The record is from RNAcentral.